This 164-nucleotide ribosomal RNA is filed under the name Brachybasidiaceae sp. RNAcentral describes it as "partial large subunit ribosomal RNA". It matches the Rfam family "Eukaryotic large subunit ribosomal RNA", at positions 99 to 261 of the family's 3401-position model. The record is from RNAcentral. Lineage: Eukaryota; Fungi; Basidiomycota; Exobasidiomycetes; Exobasidiales; Brachybasidiaceae.
CGGGAUGAGCUCAAAUUUGAAAGCUGACCCCCCGGUCCGCAUUGUAAUCUCGAGAUGUGUUUUCCGUGCUAGACCAUGGACAAGUUCCUUGGAAUUGGAUGUCAUAGAGGGUGAGAACCCCGUACCUGCCAUGGACGCCUAGUGCUUUGUGAUACACGUUCGAA